ACUCCUACGGGAGGCCAGCAGGUGGGGAAUAUUGCAGGCAAUGGGCGUCAAGCCAUGGACAUGCAGCCAUGCCGCGUGUGUGAAGAAGGCCUUCGGGUUGGUAAAGACACUUUUCAGUCGUGAGGAAGGUAGUGUAGUUAAUAGCUGCAUUAUUUGACGUUAGCGACAGAAGAAGCACCGGCUAACUCCGUGCCAGCAGCCGCGGUAAUACGGAGGGUGCGAGCGUUAAUCGGAAUUACUGGGCGUAAAGCGCAUGCAGGUGGUUUGUUAAGUCAGAUGUGAAAGCCCGGGGCUCAACCUCGGAAU
RNAcentral lists this ribosomal RNA (306 nucleotides) under uncultured bacterium. Its description in RNAcentral is "bacterial SSU rRNA". It matches the Rfam family "Bacterial small subunit ribosomal RNA", at positions 335 to 621 of the family's 1533-position model. The record is from RNAcentral.